Notechis scutatus (mainland tiger snake) is the source of this 209-nucleotide non-coding RNA. NCBI's taxonomy places the organism in Eukaryota, Metazoa, Chordata, Lepidosauria, Squamata, Elapidae. The record is from RefSeq and is a predicted model, not a curated record.
UUUCCGCUCUAGGACCUCGCAGCUCUCUGGCCUUAACCCUUGCGCUGCGCCUCGAUCAGUCAGGCACAGAUGAUGCGGACUACAGAACACAUGAACCACCCGGUCUCACUUGGCGUUGGCCCUUUCUCGAGCCCCGAGACGCUCCUUUGUGGCCCAUCAUCCACUCCCCGCUCCCAACGCCGCUGGGAUUGGGGCGCAAAGGCGCGUCU